RNAcentral lists this ribosomal RNA (481 nucleotides) under uncultured bacterium. RNAcentral's name for it is "partial 16S ribosomal RNA". It matches the Rfam family "Bacterial small subunit ribosomal RNA", at positions 28 to 507 of the family's 1533-position model. The record is from RNAcentral.
GAUGAACGCUGGCGGCGUGCUUAACACAUGCGAGUCGAACGAAGCACUUUAUUUGAUUUCCUUCGGGACUGAUUAUUUUGUGACUGAGUGGCGGACGGGUGAGUAACGCGUGGGUAACCUGCCUUGUACAGGGGGAUAACAGUUGGAAACGGCUGCUAAUACCGCAUAAGCGCACAGCAUCGCAUGAUGCAGUGUGAAAAACUCCGGUGGUAUAAGAUGGACCCGCGUUGGGUUAGCUAGUUGGUGAGGUAACGGCCCACCAAGGCGACGAUCCAUAGCCGACCUGAGAGGGUGACCGGCCACAUUGGGACUGAGACACGGCCCAAACUCCUACGGGAGGCAGCAGUGGGGAAUAUUACACAAUGGGCGAAAGCCUGAUGCAGCGACGCCGCGUGAGCGAAGAAGUAUUUCGGUAUGUAAAGCUCUAUCAGCAGGGAAGAUAAUGACGGUACCUGACUAAGAAGCACCGGCUAAAUACGUG